This 927-nucleotide ribosomal RNA is filed under the name uncultured bacterium. RNAcentral's name for it is "bacterial SSU rRNA". It matches the Rfam family "Bacterial small subunit ribosomal RNA", at positions 550 to 1482 of the family's 1533-position model. The record is from RNAcentral.
AUCACUGGGCGUAAAGCGCGCGCAGGCGGCCUUUUUAAGUUGGAUGUGAAAGCCUACGGCUCAACCGUAGAACUGCAUCCAAAACUACUAGGCUAGAGUCUGGGAGGGGAAGAUGGAAUUAGUUGUGUAGGGGUAAAAUCCGUAGAGAUAACUAGGAAUACCAAAAGCGAAGGCAAUCUUCUGGAACAGUACUGACGCUGAGGCGCGAAAGCGUGGGGAGCAAACAGGAUUAGAUACCCUGGUAGUCCACGCCCUAAACGAUGAAUGUUAGUCGUCGGGUAGCUAGUCUAUUCGGUGAUGCAGUUAACACAUUAAACAUUCCGCCUGGGGAGUACGGUCGCAAGAUUAAAACUCAAAGGAAUAGACGGGGACCCGCACAAGUGGUGGAGCAUGUGGUUUAAUUCGAAGAUACGCGAAGAACCUUACCUAGCCUUGACAUAUUUUAGAACACUUUAGAGAUAGAGUGGUGCCUUCGGGAGCUAAUAUACAGGUGCUGCACGGCUGUCGUCAGCUCGUGUCGUGAGAUGUUGGGUUAAGUCCCGCAACGAGCGCAACCCUCGUCACUAGUUACUAACGGUUCGGCCGAGGACUCUAGUGAGACUGCCUUCGCAAGGAGGAGGAAGGUGAGGACGACGUCAAGUCAUCAUGGCCCUUACGGCUAGGGCAACACACGUGCUACAAUGGCCAGGACAAUGAGAAGCAAUACCGCGAGGUGGAGCAAAUCUAUAAACCUGGUCUCAGUUCGGAUUGUUCUCUGCAACUCGAGAGCAUGAAGCUGGAAUCACUAGUAAUCGUAGAUCAGCUAUGCUACGGUGAAUACGUUCCCGGGUCUUGUACUCACCGCCCGUCACACCAUGGGAGUUGAUUUCACCCGAAGCGGGGAAGCUAAACUGGCUACCCUCCACGGUGGAAUCAGCGACUGGGGUG